RNAcentral lists this long non-coding RNA (822 nucleotides) under Gossypium raimondii (Peruvian cotton). RNAcentral's name for it is "long non-coding RNA (GRAI_LNC001189)". Lineage: Eukaryota; Viridiplantae; Streptophyta; Magnoliopsida; Malvales; Malvaceae. The record is from RNAcentral.
UCUAUGAAGAAGUUUAAAUAGAGACAUAUGGAUAUAAAAGAAAUUUACCUGGACAUGAAGGGUGGAGCAAUUACUAGGGUUUUUUAUAAAAAUAUUAUAAAAAAAUAAAAAUUUACCAGAAUGUUAUAACUUUUUUUAUUUACCAAAAUAUAUAAAAAAACAAAAAAAAACCUGCAAAAAAAAUCAGAACGAUGUGACGGGACCUUGGUCACGCCAAUGGUAUUGGCGGCACCAGUUAAUAAUAGGGGGGGUCGGUGGUGGGGGGGGCAGAAGGAGAGGGAAAGAAAGAAAGAAAGAAAGAAAGGAGAGGAAAGAAAGAAAAAGAAGGAAAGAAAAGGAAAGGAGAAGAGAAAAAAAAAGAAAGAAAGAAGAAGAAAAGGAAAAGAGAAGAAAAAGAAAGAAAGAAGGAAAGAAAAGGGAAAAAAAAAGGGAAGGAAGGAAAAAAAAAAAGAAAAAAAAGGUAAUUUUAUUUAUAAAUUUAAUUUUUUUGUAAUAUUUGUGUAUUUAAAAUUUAUGUUAUGUACAUUAUAGUUAUUUUAUUAUUUUAUUUAGCAUUUAUAUUUUAUGAAAUAUAUUUAGAAUGAAAAAAAUAAUGGUAUGUACAUUGUAUGUUGAUUAGGGAUUUUUUUAUGAAAUUUACUUAGGAAUUUGAAAUUAAAAUUUUAAGAAAAUAGCAUUAAAAGUAAAAUGACAAAGAAGUAUGUUUAAGAAAACAUAAAAUACGAAAAGAAAAAACGGGAAUUGUAUAUUUAUCGAAAAUAAUAAAAUGCGGAAAAAAUGUGAAAAAUGCACAUGUAAUAGAUUUAAAACAUAAUAAAUUGA